Molecule: long non-coding RNA, 510 nt
Organism: Mytilus trossulus (common blue mussel)
Lineage: Eukaryota; Metazoa; Mollusca; Bivalvia; Mytilida; Mytilidae
Exons: 3
Source: RefSeq, a predicted model, not a curated record
AAUAUAACAAGGAAUGGACAGAGGAGUUGACUAUUGAUUUUGACUGAUACUGGUAAUACUGGAAUGAAGUAACCUAUAUGCAGUGUCAAAUGAUUCCAUGCCUGACAGUCCAUUUUUACAUGUACAUAAAAUGUAUGUUGACAGCCAAUGAAUUACACAUUUGUUGCUCCCAAGAUGUAAGAGGAUUUGAAGUUAUACAAUGAAAUGAAUGAAUUGAUUAGAAAUACAUGUAGUUGAGACCCUAUAGCUACAGUACAUGUAACUGGAACUGUAGGAAGUAUUCCAAGAGUAUGAUUGCUAAGUAUGCAUUACAGGAUUUUAUCAUUGGAGCAACAUCCAAGGAGAAUAAGUGGAAAUGUAUGAAGGAAUCCUUGGGUACAAAUAUCAAUUAUAUGCAGAAGUGGACUCUUAAACAUUAUUAACAGAUAUGGUAGUCAAGAAAUUUAUACCAUUACCAACUGGAAUUAACUAUUGUGUAUAUUUUUUCAACCAUAAGUACUUUCAGAAUAC